Molecule: transfer RNA, 66 nt
Filed under: Dendrohyrax dorsalis (Western tree hyrax)
Lineage: Eukaryota; Metazoa; Chordata; Mammalia; Hyracoidea; Procaviidae
Description: tRNA-Tyr
Rfam family: tRNA
About the family: Transfer RNA (tRNA) molecules are approximately 80 nucleotides in length. Their secondary structure includes four short double-helical elements and three loops (D, anti-codon, and T loops).
Source: RNAcentral
GGUAGAAUGGCUGAUGAAAGCAUUAGACUGUAAAUCUAAUUAUGAGGCUAUACUCCUCUUUUGCCA